This 354-nucleotide ribosomal RNA is filed under the name Terriglobales bacterium. Its description in RNAcentral is "bacterial SSU rRNA". It matches the Rfam family "Bacterial small subunit ribosomal RNA", at positions 1 to 350 of the family's 1533-position model. The record is from RNAcentral. Lineage: Bacteria; Pseudomonadati; Acidobacteriota; Terriglobia; Terriglobales.
AGAUCGAACUGAAGAGUUUGAUCCUGGCUCAGAUUGAACGCUGGCGGCAUGCCUUACACAUGCAAGUCGAACGGCAGCACGGGGGCAACCCUGGUGGCGAGUGGCGAACGGGUGAGUAAUACAUCGGAACGUGCCCAGUCGUGGGGGAUAACUACGCGAAAGCGUAGCUAAUACCGCAUACGAACUAAGGUUGAAAGCGGGGGACCUGUAAGGGCCUCGCGCGAUUGGAGCGGCCGAUGGCAGAUUAGGUAGUUGGUGGGGUAAAGGCUCACCAAGCCGACGAUCUGUAGCUGGUCUGAGAGGACGACCAGCCACACUGGGACUGAGACACGGCCCAGACUCCUACGGGAGGCA